Molecule: ribosomal RNA, 292 nt
Filed under: uncultured microorganism
Description: partial 16S ribosomal RNA
Rfam family: Bacterial small subunit ribosomal RNA
Source: RNAcentral
GUGCCAGCAGCCGCGGUAAUACGUAGGGUGCGAGCGUUGUCCGGAAUUAUUGGGCGUAAAGAGCUCGUAGGCGGUUUGUUGCGUCGACCGUGAAAACCUGGGGCUUAACCCUGGGCUUGCGGUCGAUACGGGCAGACUUGAGUUCGGCAGGGGAGACUGGAAUUCCUGGUGUAGCGGUGAAAUGCGCAGAUAUCAGGAGGAACACCGGUGGCGAAGGCGGGUCUCUGGGCCGAUACUGACGCUGAGGAGCGAAAGCGUGGGGAGCGAACAGGAUUAGAUACCCUGGUAGUCC